Molecule: long non-coding RNA, 2707 nt
Organism: Syngnathoides biaculeatus (alligator pipefish)
Lineage: Eukaryota; Metazoa; Chordata; Actinopteri; Syngnathiformes; Syngnathidae
Exons: 3
Source: RefSeq, a predicted model, not a curated record
CAGCACUGUUGUCGAAGGACUAUUGAGAGACUGGUUACCUCCGAGAACAAGUGUUCCCGUUAUCCAAUAUAAAGUGCAUACACCAGUCCGGAAUCCGUUUAAGUUGGAGGGUCACAGGUGUGCUGGAGCCUAUACCAGCUAUCUUCGGAUGAAAGGAGAAUUCCAGCUGAAGAAAAACUCUCAUCGCACAUGAUGCCUCCACCACCGUGCUGCACUGUAGAUAUGGUUGAUCUUCACGAUGAGCGGCAUUGUGUUUCCACCAUUUUGGCGCCGUGGCCAUCUUUCCCCAGCCAAAAUGUGGAGGGGUUGCGUCAGGAUGGGCAUCCAUCGUAAAACUGUGCCAAACAAAUAUGCGUUCAUCUGAGAUGACACGCUGUGGCGACCCCUAAUGGUACAAGCCGAAAGGAAAAGAAGAAGAUAUUAGUUAUAUGCCACACUAUCUAUCCAUUUUCCAUACUGCUUAUCAUCACCAUGGUUUCAAGUGUCCCGGAGCCUAUCCCAAACAUCUUUGGAUGAGAGACGGGAUACACCCUGAAAAUGGUCACCAGACAAUUGAGACUAAUAGAUACAGAUACAAACAAACAACCAUUCGCACUCACAUUCAUACCUAUGGGCAAUUUGGAGUUGUCAAUUAACAUUCCAUCCAUGUUUUAAUGAUGUGGAAGGAAACCAGAUUAUCUGGAGAAAAACCAAGCAGGCACGGGAGAACAUACAAACUCCAACCAGGUGGUGCCGGAUUUGAACCCCGGUCCUCAGAACAGUGAGGAAGCUGUGCUAACCCUUGACUAAGGAGUCCUAUGGGGGGUCAGGAUGAGGCAUUCAUUCAGUGACAAUGAUGCACCUGUUUUCAUUCAGUAGGGUUGUAAAGAAAAUGGCCAGUAAGUAAAGGAGAUUGAUUCCAUCCAUCCAUCUUCGACCACUUAUCCGGGUCAGGUCACAGGGCGAUACCUUUAGCAGGGACAACCAGACUUCCUUUUCCCCAGCUGCUUCAUCAAUCUCAUCCAGGGGGAUCCUGAAUGAUUCCCAGGCUAGCCGAGAGACAUAGUCUCUCCGGGAUGUCCUGUGUCAUCCCCUGGGUCUCAUUCUGGUAGAACGUGCCUGGAACAACCUCACCAGGGAGAUGCCCGGGAGGCAUUGGAAACAAAAGCUCCAGCCACCUCAUCUGGCUCCUCUCAAUGCGGAGGAGCAGCGGCUUGACUCUAGGGCUCUCCUAGAUGACUGAGCUUCUCACCCUAUUUCUAAAGGAGAGACCCUAACCCUAACACCCUAGGGAGAAUAUUCAUUUUCUGCCACUUUUAUCCGAGAUGUUGUUUUUUCUGUCAUAACCCACAACUUGUGACCAAUAGAUCGACCAGUAAAUUGAGAGCUUUCCCUUUCACCUUAGCUACUUCUUUACCACAAUGAUACAAACACUGCAUCGCUGCAGAAUCUGCACCCAUCCGCCUAUUGAUCUCAUGUUUCAUUCUUCCCACACUCGUAAACAAGACCCCAAGAUACUUAUACUCCUCCACUUGGGGCAGGAUCUCAUCCCCAACCUCCCUCCAAAGUCUCUAAAAAGGGUCUGUAAUCUGAACUGUUGUUUGGUGCAUAGGGACAAAAACUAUUAGGAACUGUCCCCCUACCCGAAGGGGGAGAGAGGCUACCCUCUCACCCACCGGAGUGAACUCCAACGUACAGGCACCGAACUGGGGGGCAAUAAGUAUACCCACACAUGCUUGGUGCCUCUCACUGCGUGCAAUUCCAGAGUGGAAAAGAGUUCAAAACCCACUCAAGAGGACUUGUUCCAGAGCCCAAGGUAUGUGUGGAGGUGAGACCAACUAUUUGUAGAUUAUAGAAUCAAGACCAAUGGUUCCCGAAAUCAACCUGGGCCAGGACCCCCAGUGAGUCGUUCAAAAAGGUCCCGGAUCCCCAACCUCAACUUUUGCCAAUAAUUUAGUGCUGGACACAGCUAUGCCAUUGCAGUACAAAGAAAUACUCAAUUUUAGUGGGUCACAUGCUCUCUCUUUUUAUUUUUGCACAAUAAAUCAAAACGUGGUUCAACAUUGGAAAGGGCAAUUCUCACACCAUGAUUAGCUUCCAGAGGAUUUUGUUUUUUCGUCUUCACAUCACGGACCCCCUGGAAAAAAGACAGAUGGUGGCCCAUGGAAAGGUGGACCCACGUUACGCUUUCGGGCUGUGCCCCACUUCCAGGCCUGACUCCAGAGUGGGGUCCCAGUGAUGCAGGUCUGCAUAAGGGAAACUUAGAUUCAAAAUUUGUAUUCAUCAUCGGGGUUUAUGGAAUCGUACUUUGUGUGGUCCCUCACUUAGGACCUUUUUGCUCUGGGUGAUCCUACCAGGGGUGUGAAGCCCCAGACAACUUAUUUCCUAGUAUCAUUGGGACACAAACCACUCCACCACGAUAAGGUGACAGCUCAAGGAGGCCAGAGCUUGAUUCAAAAUAAAUAGUAUGAGUGCUAAACAAUAUGGACGCCUUUGCUGCCAACAAUUACAAGACUGCCUGCGCCCACCCACUGUUUACUAAAGGCUUGAGGUUGGUGCAAUCACUCUGCCUUUGUGUAAUUUUCGAUGAAAGUGUCACUUUAGGAAUCUUAUGCCAUGGAUGAGGUAACCCAAUUCACAAGGAAAAUAGAAAUGUUUUAACAGCCCAGAAACCUGUCUGAUCUAGAGAAGAUCUGUGUGGAGGAGUGGGCCAAAAUCCCUCCUGCAC